CGUAGCUAAGCGUGGAGCUGAAUUCCCCAAUUGUCCGACUGUUGCUGAGUAGUUUUCGAAUAUCAAACGGACCUCCCCAAAAGGUAAAUUUAGAGUUGUAGCUAUGAGUGUUACAGAUGGUCUGAUGAGAAGAAUGAAAGUGAUUGACCGUCAUUGCUUCUUCUUCGGGAGAAGAAGUUCACGACACUUUAAGCUUUAUGAGCUUAAGUGAGACUGUGCGAGGUUUAGACGUAAAAAAAAGUUUUAAAAUUUAUAGUCAUUUUAAAAAUUAUUUAAUAAUUAAAACAAUACAUAUUAAACAUCCAAAAUUGUAAAAUACAAUAUUUACUUAAUAACUCCUACCACUAGUCAAUUAUACAAUUUUCAAAAUUUUGAUCAAAUGCAAAAAUUAAAAUGGUUUUCAAUAGUUUGGAUUUUCAACUAGACAAAUCAUACUUCAUAGAUUUAUAAGAACUUCAUACAUGUUUUUGGAGUUUGUAAGAAGAUGAGUUUCGAGAUCAAAAUUAUGUAAUGUAGAUAACACCAUAACUUAAAUCUUAUUAAACUAUUUAGAUAAAGUCAUUUUUAACAUUUGUACGUAUAAAAUAUUUUAAAAACUUGUAAGUAAAGUCAAAUAAUAAGCUUUGGUAAAAAACUAAUAAAGCGCGUUUACAGGAGAUAAAAGAAAUGAAGGAAGAAAUUCAACCAUUUAGGAAUUGAAAAAAAAAAAGUGUCUAGACGUGAAUCAAGGAAUUUUGUCUGAGCUUCAAGAUUAGCACCGUCGCAUAUGCCAGCUUUUUAGAACACCUAUGCCAAUAUCAUGAAUGUUUCUCUUCUUUCAAUUCUUGUCUUCAACGGAGAAUGCAAUGAAUUCUAGAGCAUUAAAAUGAGGAACUUGUUUAAGUCUCGAGAUCUUUGGGACUUAGUUGAGAAUAAAUAUCCUGAUCCAAAUGAGGAGACAAAGUUGAAAGAAAAUAAGGACUCUUGGGCAUUAUUCUUCUCUCAAAAAGCAGUCCAUGAGAGUAUUUUCUCAAAAAUUGCAAUAGUAGCUACAGUAAAAGAAGCUUGGAGAAUAAUGCAGACAGUGUUCCAAAGUUCUAAAAAGGUAAUCAUAGUGAAACUUCAACUUCAAUCAUAGAGAAAAGUUGUAGGAGGGUUGUAUGCCUAUGUACAUUUUCAGUGAUCGUGAAUCGUCACUGCAUUACCGUGGAGAUCAUCUUCGAUGACUUGUCUAUAUAUGUAUACGAUCCCAAUCAUUCAUGUCUGACACAGGGUCAACUCGAGUAAAAUUUAAAGCUGAUGGCUAUGAUCGUACCUCUGAUGGCUAAACAAGCUGGAGUGACUGUGCAGGACAAAUUAGCCAUCGUACGGGACACAACGACGGUGAGACAAUCAAUAUUGUAAGUAUUUGUAAUUUUUUUAACUUUAAAACUUAUUUUUAGCUACAGGGUACCGAACUAAAACAUUAUUGUUCAAUACAGGGACGGUUGCAGCAUAUUUACCUUAAAGUACAUUGAAUUUUUUAAUAUAGUACAUAAAGUUAAUGGAAUCAAUCAAUCAUAG
This 1542-nucleotide long non-coding RNA is filed under the name Olea europaea subsp. europaea. Lineage: Eukaryota; Viridiplantae; Streptophyta; Magnoliopsida; Lamiales; Oleaceae. The record is from RNAcentral.